This 484-nucleotide ribosomal RNA is filed under the name uncultured bacterium. RNAcentral's name for it is "partial 16S ribosomal RNA". It matches the Rfam family "Bacterial small subunit ribosomal RNA", at positions 30 to 507 of the family's 1533-position model. The record is from RNAcentral.
AUUGAACGCUGGCGGCAGGCCUAACACAUGCAAGUCGAGCGGAUGAAGGGAGCUUGCUUCUGGUUCUAGCGGCGGACGGGGGAGUAAUGCCUAGGAAUCUGCCUGGCAGUGGGGGAUAACGACCUGAAACGGGCGCUAAUACCGCAUGCGUGCUGAGGGAGAAAGUGGGGGAUCUUCGGACAUCACGGUAUCAGAUGAGCCUAGGUCGGGUUAGCUAGUUGGUGGGGUAAAGGCCUACCAAGCCGAGGAUCCGCAACUGGCCGGAGAGGAUGAUCGGUCACACUGGAACUGAGACACGGUCCAGACUCCUACGGGAGGCAGCAGUGGGGAAUAUUGGACAAUGGGCGGAAGCCUGAUACAGCCAUGCCGCGUGUGUGAAGAAGGUCUUCGGAUUGUAAAGCCCUUUUAGUUGGGAGGAAGGGCAGUAAGUUGAUACGUUGCUGUUUUGACGGUACCAACAGAAUAAGCACCGGCUAACUACGUG